UUACCAGACUCCUACGGGAGGCAGCAGUGGGGAAUAUUGCACAAUGGGGGAAACCCUGAUGCAGCGACGCCGCGUGAGGGAAGAAGGUUUUCGGAUUGUAAACCUCUGUCCUUGGUGACGAAAGAAGACGGUAGCCAAGGAGGAAGCCACGGCUAAAUACGUGCCAGCAGCCGCGGUAAUACGUAUGGAGCAAGCGUUAUCCGGAUUUACUGGGUGUAAAGGGAGCGCAGGCGGCCUUGCAAGUCUGAUGUGAAAGGCCGGGGCCCAACCCCGGGACUGCAUUGGAAACUGCGAGGCUGGAGUGUCGGAGAGGCAGGCGGAAUUCCUAGUGUAGCGGUGAAAUGCGUAGAUAUUAGGAGGAACACCAGUGGCGAAGGCGGCCUGCUGGACGAUGACUGACGCUGAGGCUCGAAAGCGUGGGGAGCAAACAGGAUUAGAUACCCCAGUA
RNAcentral lists this ribosomal RNA (448 nucleotides) under uncultured bacterium. RNAcentral describes it as "partial 16S ribosomal RNA". It matches the Rfam family "Bacterial small subunit ribosomal RNA", at positions 328 to 792 of the family's 1533-position model. The record is from RNAcentral.